Molecule: unclassified non-coding RNA, 234 nt
Filed under: Hevea brasiliensis (rubber tree)
Lineage: Eukaryota; Viridiplantae; Streptophyta; Magnoliopsida; Malpighiales; Euphorbiaceae
Source: RNAcentral
UUCAGAACUGUUGAAUUUAGAAUGGAUUAUAUCUUUAUGAUUAUCACUUGCACCCCUUUGCUUUUCCCCUCUGUUGAGCUUAUGUUUAAGCUUAGACGGCCUUACCUGGGAAGACUCAUGCUGAUUUUUCUUUCCUGAAAAUAAUCCCAAAAUUUAACAAUUUGGGAAAUUGAAUUAGUGAAAUAGGAUAGAUGAAAGUUCUCGUUGUAGCUGUGCAAGCAUCCAUCAUGAAAG